GUGAAAAUGAUGUAAAUUUGUUUGUCUGAUUACAUUGAUGUAUUCAAAGGAACCACUGAUUCAC
Pelobates cultripes (western spadefoot toad) is the source of this 64-nucleotide non-coding RNA. Lineage: Eukaryota; Metazoa; Chordata; Amphibia; Anura; Pelobatidae. The record is from the annotation of a GenBank genome assembly.